Molecule: ribosomal RNA, 253 nt
Filed under: uncultured bacterium
Lineage: Bacteria
Description: partial 16S ribosomal RNA
Rfam family: Bacterial small subunit ribosomal RNA
Source: RNAcentral
UACUGAAGGUGCGAGCGUUAAUCGGAAUUACUGGGCGUAAAGCGCGCGUAGGCGGUUUGGUAAGUCGGAUGUGAAAUCCCCGGGCUCAACCCGGGAACUGCAUUCGAUACUGUCAGGCUAGAGUGUAAGAGAGGGUAGUGGAAUUCCGGGUGUAGCGGUGAAAUGCGUAGAUAUCCGGAGGAACAUCAGUGGCGAAGGCGACUGCCUGGCUUAACACUGACGCUGAGGUGCGAAAGCGUGGGGAGCAAACAGG